This 935-nucleotide ribosomal RNA is filed under the name Aleurodiscus grantii. RNAcentral describes it as "eukaryotic LSU rRNA". It matches the Rfam family "Eukaryotic large subunit ribosomal RNA", at positions 28 to 949 of the family's 3401-position model. The record is from RNAcentral. Lineage: Eukaryota; Fungi; Basidiomycota; Agaricomycetes; Russulales; Stereaceae.
CUGAACUUAAGCAUAUCAAUAAGCGGAGGAAAAGAAACUAACAAGGAUUCCCCUAGUAACUGCGAGUGAAGCGGGAAAAGCUCAAAUUUAAAAUCUGGCAGUUUCGGCUGUCCGAGUUGUAAUCUGGAGAAGCGUUUUCCGCGUUGGACCGUGUACAAGUUUCCUGGAACGGAGCGUCAUAGAGGGUGAGAAUCCCGUCUUUGACACGGACCCCAAUGCUUUGUGAUACGCUCUCAAAGAGUCGAGUUGUUUGGGAAUGCAGCUCAAAAUGGGUGGUGAAUUCCAUCUAAAGCUAAAUAUUGGCGAGAGACCGAUAGCGAACAAGUACCGUGAGGGAAAGAUGAAAAGCACUUUGGAAAGAGAGUUAAACAGUACGUGAAAUUGUUGAAAGGGAAACGCUUGAAGUCAGUCGCGUUGGCCGGGACUCAGCCUUGCUUCCGCUUGGUGUACUUUCCGGUCGACGGGCCAGCAUCAAUUUUGACCGCGGGAUAAAGUCCAGGGGAAGGUGGCUCUUCGGAGUGUUAUAGCCUCUGGUCACAUGCCGCGGUUGGGAUUGAGGAAUUCAGCACGCCUUUAAUUAGGUUCGGGGUUCGCCCACGUUCGUGCUUAGGAUGCUGGCGUAAUGGCUUUAAACGACCCGUCUUGAAACACGGACCAAGGAGUCUAACAUGCCUGCGAGUGUUCGGGUGGAAAACCCGUGCGCGUAAUGAAAGUGAAAGUUGGGAUCCCUGUCGUGGGGUGCACCGACGCCCGGACCAGAACUUCUGUGACGGAUCUGCGGUAGAGCAUGUAUGUUGGGACCCGAAAGAUGGUGAACUAUGCCUGAAUAGGGUGAAGCCAGAGGAAACUCUGGUGGAGGCUCGUAGCGAUUCUGACGUGCAAAUCGAUCGUCAAAUUUGGGUAUAGGGGCGAAAGACUAAUCGAACCAUCUAGUA